This 505-nucleotide ribosomal RNA is filed under the name uncultured bacterium. RNAcentral's name for it is "partial 16S ribosomal RNA". It matches the Rfam family "Bacterial small subunit ribosomal RNA", at positions 28 to 507 of the family's 1533-position model. The record is from RNAcentral.
GACGAACGCUGGCGGCGUGCCUAAUACAUGCAAGUAGGACGCACAGUCUAUACCGUAGCUUGCUACACCAUAGGCUGUGAGUUGCGAACGGGUGAGUAACGCGUAGGUAACCUGCCUAUUAGAGGGGGAUAACUAUUGGAAACGAUAGCUAAUACCGCAUAACAGUAUGUAACACAUGUUAGAUGCUUGAAAGAUGCAAUUGCAUCGCUAGUAGAUGGACCUGCGUUGUAUUAGCUAGUAGGUAGGGUAAUGGCCUACCUAGGCGACGAUACAUAGCCGACCUGAGAGGGUGAUCGGCCACACUGGGACUGAGACACGGCCCAGACUCCUACGGGAGGCAGCAGGAGGGAAUCUUCGGCAAUGGGGGGAACCCUGACCGAGCAACGCCGCGUGAGUGAAGAAGGGUGUCGGAUCGUAAAGCUCUGUUGUUAAGGAAGAACGAGUGUGAGAAUGGAAAGUUCAUACUGUGACGGUACUUAACCAGAAAGGGACGGCUAACUACGUG